GAUGAACGCUGGCGGCGUGCCUAAUACAUGCAAGUCGAGCGAACGGACGAGAAGCUUGUUUCUCUGAUGUUAGCGGCGGACGGGUGAGUAACACGUGGAUAACCUACCUAUAAGACUGGGAUAACUUCGGGAAACCGGAGCUAAUACCGGAUAAUAUCUUGAACCGCAUGGUUCAAAAGUGAAAGACGGUCUUGCUGUCACUUAUAGAUGUAUCCGCGCUGCAUUAGCUAGUUGGUAAGGUAACGGCUUACCAAGGCAACGAUGCAUAGCCGACCUGAGAGGGUGAUCGGCCACACUGGAACUGAGACACGGUCCAGACUCCUACGGGAGGCAGCAGUAGGGAAUCUUCGGCAAUGGGCGAAAGCCUGACGGAGCAACGCCGCGUGGGUGAUGAAGGUCUUCGGAUCGUAAAACUCUGUUAUUAGGGAAGAACAUAUGUGUAAGUAACUGUGCACAUCGUGACGGUACCUAAUCAGAAAGCCACGGCUAACUACGUG
This 497-nucleotide ribosomal RNA is filed under the name uncultured bacterium. RNAcentral describes it as "partial 16S ribosomal RNA". It matches the Rfam family "Bacterial small subunit ribosomal RNA", at positions 28 to 507 of the family's 1533-position model. The record is from RNAcentral.